UCCUACGGGAGGCAGCAGUGGGGAAUUUUCCGCAAUGGGCGAAAGCCUGACGGAGCAAUACCGCGUGAGGGAAGAAGGCUUUUGGGUUGUAAACCUCUUUUCUCAGGGAAGAAGAAAGUGACGGUACCUGAGGAAUAAGCAUCGGCUAACUCCGUGCCAGCAGCCGCGGUAAU
This 173-nucleotide ribosomal RNA is filed under the name uncultured Cylindrospermum sp. RNAcentral's name for it is "partial 16S ribosomal RNA". It matches the Rfam family "Bacterial small subunit ribosomal RNA", at positions 337 to 524 of the family's 1533-position model. Lineage: Bacteria; Bacillati; Cyanobacteriota; Cyanophyceae; Nostocales; Nostocaceae. The record is from RNAcentral.